CAUAGCGACUAUCGUGGCAUAUCAAUAAGCGGAGGAAAAGAAACUAACAAGGAUUCCCCUAGUAACGGCGAGUGAAGCGGGAAGAGCUCAAAUUUGAAAUCUUAAAGGGUUUCUCCUUUACGAAUUGUAGUUUAAAGAAGUGUUUUCUGUUGGAGUUUCGGUAAAAGUUCUUUGGAAUAGGACAUCAUAGAGGGUGAGAAUCCCGUAUUUGACCGUUACUUUCCAGCUGUGUGAUACACUUUCAAAGAGUCGGAUUGUUUGGGAAUGCAGUCCAAAAUGGGUGGUAAAUUUCAUCUAAAGCUAAAUAUUGGCGAGAGACCGAUAGCGAACAAGUACCGUGAGGGAAAGAUGAAAAGAACUUUGAAAAGAGAGUUAAACAGUACGUGAAAUUGUCAAAAGGGAAGCGUUUGACACCAGUGUUGUUUAGUUGAAAAUCAAUUUCAAUAAUUUUUGAUUUUAGAAGUAGUAUUGACUUCAUCAGCUUGCUGCUUUUCUCUCCGAAAAUUAUUGAAUGCACUUUUCAGUUAACAAGUCAACAUCAAUUUCUUUUGUUGUAAAAGGGUAAGAGGAAGGUGGCUUACGCUUCGGCGUCAAGUGUCUAUAGCCUUUUACCUCUGCAAUCGGAGAGAUUGAGGUACAUGCAGCGUAGACUCUUCGGGGUUAGAUACACUUUAAUGCUAAGCUAUAGCCUUGUAUAGACAACUUGUUGACUAUGCUCAGUCAUGUAGCUUACUCGCUUAGAUGCUAUUUUACCUACGCUUAGGAUGUUGAUAUGCAUGACUGAUAUU
This 788-nucleotide ribosomal RNA is filed under the name uncultured Neocallimastigales. Its description in RNAcentral is "partial large subunit ribosomal RNA". It matches the Rfam family "Eukaryotic large subunit ribosomal RNA", at positions 22 to 641 of the family's 3401-position model. Lineage: Eukaryota; Fungi; Neocallimastigomycota; Neocallimastigomycetes; Neocallimastigales. The record is from RNAcentral.